GGGGCUGUUUGGUUUUGACAGCAAGGUAAAUGGGUAUUGUAAGCAUGCCGAGCCACGUGAUAUGUCUCGUAAAUCCGGGUCACAAAACAAUAAAUGGCGAAAAUAAUUACGCUCUUGCUGCUUAAUCGAAUUAUAGUAGAUUAGCUUAAUCCGCGCACAAGGUGCAUGGACAAGACGUUCCUCGUAAACCAAGUCCUGCGGUUUGCGGUUCAGGGGCGCUCGUGAGACAGGAAUAGUUGUAGCUUUUUCUCAGAGCCGCGGCGAAACUUUAGAGGAUAAGAUGGCAGUAGGUUGCCGCCUGCCGGCUGUCAUUCGAAAAUCAAUAAGCGGAUAAGCAUGUAGAAAGCAUAUUUGUUUCUUGUUUGGACACGGGUUCGACUCCCGUCAGCUCCACGA
RNAcentral lists this transfer-messenger RNA (396 nucleotides) under Bacteroidales bacterium. It matches the Rfam family "transfer-messenger RNA". From Rfam's summary of the family: Bacterial tmRNA, also known as 10Sa RNA or SsrA, is named for its dual tRNA and mRNA-like properties. Lineage: Bacteria; Pseudomonadati; Bacteroidota; Bacteroidia; Bacteroidales. The record is from RNAcentral.